CUAGGAGGGGGUCCAAACUACAGGAAGGACGAAUAUGUGAACCCUUUAUUAAGACCUCUCGGGGAUAAGCUGUUAAGCAGGGCCUCCAUAUCCGUAAAAACUGUUCGUGUCUGCGGUCGAUCCAGGAGGUAAUUUCCUCAAGCCGGAAAAUCUGAUCAACCCUAUUUAACCAUUCCUGUUGAGAAGGAAGGGAGGAACUCAACCAAUGUAAAGACGAACACAUCUGGAAAAGCCAUGUGAUCUGGAAAGGAUCUGCUGGUCAUCUGUGUCGGAAAAGGAG
Molecule: long non-coding RNA, 280 nt
Organism: Bufo bufo (common toad)
Lineage: Eukaryota; Metazoa; Chordata; Amphibia; Anura; Bufonidae
Exons: 3
Source: RefSeq, a predicted model, not a curated record